RNAcentral lists this ribosomal RNA (485 nucleotides) under uncultured bacterium. RNAcentral's name for it is "partial 16S ribosomal RNA". It matches the Rfam family "Bacterial small subunit ribosomal RNA", at positions 28 to 523 of the family's 1533-position model. The record is from RNAcentral.
GAUGAACGCUAGCGGCAGGCCUAAUACAUGCAAGUCGAACGGUGUCUUCGGACAUAGUGGCGCACGGGUGCGUAACACGUAUGCAACCUACCUUACAUUGGGGGAUAGCCUUUCGAAAGGGAGAUUAAUACCGCAUAAGACAGUAGCUGGGCAUCCAGCAGCUGUUAAAGAUUUAUCGAUGUAAGCUGGGCAUGCGUCCAAUUAGCUAGUUGGUGAGGUAACGGCUCACCAAGGCAAUGAUUGGUAGGGGAACCGAGAGGUCAAUCCCCCACACUGGCACUGAGAUACGGGCCAGACGCCGACGGGAGGCAGCAGUAGGGAAUAUUGGGCAAUGGACGCAAGUCUGACCCAGCCAUGCCGCGUGCAGGAUGAAGGCGUUAUGCGUUGUAAACUGCUUUUAUACAGGAAGAAACUACUCUUGCGAGAGGCAUUGACGGUACUGUAUGAAUAAGCACCGGCUAACUCCGUGCCAGCCGCCGCCGUAA